Molecule: non-coding RNA, 102 nt
Filed under: Corynebacterium glucuronolyticum
Lineage: Bacteria; Bacillati; Actinomycetota; Actinomycetes; Mycobacteriales; Corynebacteriaceae
Description: TPP sequence
Rfam family: TPP riboswitch aptamer (THI element)
About the family: Vitamin B(1) in its active form thiamin pyrophosphate (TPP) is an essential coenzyme that is synthesised by coupling of pyrimidine and thiazole moieties in bacteria. The previously detected thiamin-regulatory element, thi box was extended, resulting in a new, highly conserved RNA secondary structure, the THI element, which is widely distributed in eubacteria and also occurs in some archaea. Analysis of operon structures identified a large number of new candidate thiamin-regulated genes, mostly transporters, in various prokaryotic organisms.
Source: RNAcentral
AACCAGGCAACGGGGUGCGUCCCGCCACAAGGGGCGCUGAGAAAACACCCGUCGAACCUGAUCUAGGUCGUUCUAGCGAAGGGGAUUGUCAGUAUGGCUACG